UUUGGUUAAGUUAGAAAGGGCGCACGGUGGAUGCCUUGACACUAGGAGUCGAUGAAGGACGGGACUAACGCCGAUAUGCUUCGGGGAGCUGUAAGUAAGCUUUGAUCCGAAGAUUUCCGAAUGGGGAAACCCACCAUACGUAAUGGUAUGGUAUCCUUAUCUGAAUACAUAGGGUAAGGAAGACAGACCCAGGGAACUGAAACAUCUAAGUACCUGGAGGAAGAGAAAGCAAAUGCGAUUUCCUGAGUAGCGGCGAGCGAAACGGAACAUAGCCCAAACCAAGAGGCUUGCCUCUUGGGGUUGUAGGACAUUCUAUACGGAGUUACAAAGGAACGAGGUAGACGAAGCGACCUGGAAAGGUCCGUCGUAGAGGGUAACAACCCCGUAGUCGAAACUUCGUUCUCUCUUGAAUGUAUCCUGAGUACGGCGGAACACGUGAAAUUCCGUCGGAAUCUGGGAGGACCAUCUCCCAAGGCUAAAUACUCCCUAGUGAUCGAUAGUGAACCAGUACCGUGAGGGAAAGGUGAAAAGCACCCCGGAAGGGGAGUGAAAGAGAUCCUGAAACCGUGUGCCUACAAAUAGUCAGAGCCCGUUAACGGGUGAUGGCGUGCCUUUUGUAGAAUGAACCGGCGAGUUACGAUCCCGUGCGAGGUUAAGCUGAAGAGGCGGAGCCGCAGCGAAAGCGAGUCUGAAUAGGGCGUUUAGUACGUGGUCGUAGACCCGAAACCAGGUGAUCUACCCAUGUCCAGGGUGAAGUUCAGGUAACACUGAAUGGAGGCCCGAACCCACGCACGUUGAAAAGUGCGGGGAUGAGGUGUGGGUAGCGGAGAAAUUCCAAUCGAACCUGGAGAUAGCUGGUUCUCCCCGAAAUAGCUUUAGGGCUAGCCUUAAGUGUAAGAGUCUUGGAGGUAGAGCACUGAUUGGACUAGGGGUCCUCAUCGGAUUACCGAAUUCAGUCAAACUCCGAAUGCCAAUGACUUAUCCUUAGGAGUCAGACUGCGAGUGAUAAGAUCCGUAGUCAAAAGGGAAACAGCCCAGACCGCCAGCUAAGGUCCCAAAGUGUGUAUUAAGUGGAAAAGGAUGUGGAGUUGCUUAGACAACUAGGAUGUUGGCUUAGAAGCAGCCACCAUUUAAAGAGUGCGUAAUAGCUCACUAGUCGAGUGACUCUGCGCCGAAAAUGUACCGGGGCUAAAUACACCACCGAAGCUGCGGAUUGAUACCAAUGGUAUCAGUGGUAGGGGAGCGUUCUAAGGACAGUGAAGUCAGACCGGAAGGACUGGUGGAGUGCUUAGAAGUGAGAAUGCCGGUAUGAGUAGCGAAAGACGGGUGAGAAUCCCGUCCACCGAAUGCCUAAGGUUUCCUGAGGAAGGCUCGUCCGCUCAGGGUUAGUCAGGACCUAAGCCGAGGCCGACAGGCGUAGGCGAUGGACAACAGGUUGAUAUUCCUGUACCACCUCUUUAUCGUUUGAGCAAUGGAGGGACGCAGAAGGAUAGAAGAAGCGUGCGAUUGGUUGUGCACGUCCAAGCAGUUAGGCUGAUAAGUAGGCAAAUCCGCUUAUCGUGAAGGCUGAGCUGUGAUGGGGAAGCUCCUUAUGGAGCGAAGUCUUUGAUUCCCCGCUGCCAAGAAAAGCUUCUAGCGAGAUAAAAGGUGCCUGUACCGCAAACCGACACAGGUAGGCGAGGAGAGAAUCCUAAGGUGUGCGAGAGAACUCUGGUUAAGGAACUCGGCAAAAUGACCCCGUAACUUCGGGAGAAGGGGUGCUUUCUUAACGGAAAGCCGCAGUGAAUAGGCCCAAGCGACUGUUUAGCAAAAACACAGCUCUCUGCGAAGCCGUAAGGCGAAGUAUAGGGGGUGACACCUGCCCGGUGCUGGAAGGUUAAGGAGAGGGGUUAGCGUAAGCGAAGCUCUGAACUGAAGCCCCAGUAAACGGCGGCCGUAACUAUAACGGUCCUAAGGUAGCGAAAUUCCUUGUCGGGUAAGUUCCGACCCGCACGAAAGGUGUAACGAUUUGGGCACUGUCUCAACCAGAGACUCGGUGAAAUUAUAGUACCUGUGAAGAUGCAGGUUACCCGCGACAGGACGGAAAGACCCCGUGGAGCUUUACUGUAGCCUGAUAUUGAAUUUUGGUACAGUUUGUACAGGAUAGGCGGGAGCCUUUGAAACCGGAGCGCUAGCUUCGGUGGAGGCGCUGGUGGGAUACCGCCCUGACUGUAUUGAAAUUCUAACCUACGGGUCUUAUCGACCCGGGAGACAGUGUCAGGUGGGCAGUUUGACUGGGGCGGUCGCCUCCUAAAGUGUAACGGAGGCGCCCAAAGGUUCCCUCAGAAUGGUUGGAAAUCAUUCGUAGAGUGCAAAGGCAUAAGGGAGCUUGACUGCGAGACCUACAAGUCGAGCAGGGACGAAAGUCGGGCUUAGUGAUCCGGUGGUUCCGCAUGGAAGGGCCAUCGCUCAACGGAUAAAAGCUACCCCGGGGAUAACAGGCUUAUCUCCCCCAAGAGUCCACAUCGACGGGGAGGUUUGGCACCUCGAUGUCGGCUCAUCGCAUCCUGGGGCUGUAGUCGGUCCCAAGGGUUGGGCUGUUCGCCCAUUAAAGCGGUACGCGAGCUGGGUUCAGAACGUCGUGAGACAGUUCGGUCCCUAUCCGUCGUGGGCGUAGGAAAUUUGAGAGGAGCUGUCCUUAGUACGAGAGGACCGGGAUGGACGCACCGCUGGUGUACCAGUUGUUCUGCCAAGGGCAUAGCUGGGUAGCUAUGUGCGGAAGGGAUAAGUGCUGAAAGCAUCUAAGCAUGAAGCCCCCCUCAAGAUGAGAUUUCCCAUAGCGUAAGCUAGUAAGAUCCCUGAAAGAUGAUCAGGUU
Molecule: ribosomal RNA, 2855 nt
Filed under: Bacillus anthracis (anthrax bacterium)
Lineage: Bacteria; Bacillati; Bacillota; Bacilli; Caryophanales; Bacillaceae
Description: bacterial LSU rRNA
Rfam family: Bacterial large subunit ribosomal RNA
Source: RNAcentral